Molecule: ribosomal RNA, 439 nt
Filed under: uncultured bacterium
Lineage: Bacteria
Description: partial 16S ribosomal RNA
Rfam family: Bacterial small subunit ribosomal RNA
Source: RNAcentral
CCUACGGGUGGCAGCAGUGGGGAAUAUUGCACAAUGGGGGAAACCCUGAUGCAGCGACGCCGCGUGAGUGAAGAAGUAUUUCGGUAUGUAAAGCUCUAUCAGCAGGGAAGAAAAUGACGGUACCUGAGUAAGAAGCCCCGGCUAACUACGUGCCAGCAGCCGCGGUAAUACGUAGAGGGCAAGCGUUAUCCGGAAUUACUGGGUGUAAGGGAGCGUAGACGGUGAUGUAAGUCUGGAGGGAAAGGCGGGGGCCAAACCCCCGGACUGCUCUGGAAACUUUGUGACUGGAGUGCAGGAGAGGUGAGCAGAAGUCCUGGUGUAGCAGUGAAAUCCGUAGAUAUCUGGAGGAACAUCAGUGGCGAAGGCGACUAUCUGGCACAUAACUGACGCUGAGGAGCGAAAGCGUGGGUAGCAAACAGGAUUAGAUACCCGGGUAGUC